AGCUCAGCAGGGGAAGAUGGCAGGGGCCAGUCAUGCCUCGUCAUGGCAGUUACAAGGCGGAUCCGCCCCUCCCCCAGGCCUGGCCUCGCCCAGAGAGCCGCCCUCUUCCGGGAACCUCCUGCUCCGGAGCCAGGAAGGGCUGCCCUUUCCCCACCAGGAGGCCAGGGAGAUGCCUCCCUGUGCCCACAGAAUCCAGGAAGGGCCCUGGAAUCUGAAGGCUCUCUCCAGCAUGCAGCCCAGCCCUGCCCUCCUGACUGGCAGAAAUCUGACCCAAGGCCAGGGCCUAUGAACAGGGUCUGGUGAGCAGAGCCCAACUAGACCCACAGCCCAGCAGCUGGUGGGGAAACUGAUCUCGGAGAGGAAGCCUGACUGUCCAAGGGUGAAGGAAAUCCAUGACCAUGACAGUAAGGAAUGGGUUCAGCAGG
This 425-nucleotide long non-coding RNA is filed under the name Homo sapiens (human). RNAcentral describes it as "HSALNT0019936". The record is from RNAcentral. Lineage: Eukaryota; Metazoa; Chordata; Mammalia; Primates; Hominidae.